Molecule: ribosomal RNA, 468 nt
Filed under: uncultured bacterium
Lineage: Bacteria
Description: partial 16S ribosomal RNA
Rfam family: Bacterial small subunit ribosomal RNA
Source: RNAcentral
GUCCAGACUCCUACGGGAGGCAGCAGUGAGGAAUAUUGGUCAAUGGGCGCGAGCCUGAACCAGCCAAGUCGCGUGAGGGAUGACGGCCCUACGGGUUGUAAACCUCUUUUGCCGGGGAGCAACGGGCGCCACGUGUGGCGCCACUGAGAGUACCCGGAGAAAAAGCAUCGGCUAACUCCGUGCCAGCAGCCGCGGUAAUACGGAGGAUGCGAGCGUUAUCCGGAUUUAUUGGGUUUAAAGGGUGCGUAGGCGGCGUGUUAAGUCAGUGGUCAAAUUGGGGGGCUCACCCCCUUCCCGCCAUUGAAACUGGCGCUCUUGAGUGGAAGAGAAGUAUGCGGAAUGCGUGGUGUAGCGGUGAAAUGCAUAGAUAUCACGCAGAACCCCGAUUGCGAAGGCAGCAUGCCGGCUUCCGACUGACGCUGAAGCACGAAAGCGUGGGGAUCGAACAGGAUUAGAUACCCUAGUACG